AUGGGCCCUUGUGUAUAUACACUAAAACUGAAAAGACACAGAGAAGACUGGCAUAGCCCCUGAGCAAAGAUGACAUGCAAAUGUGUGAAGCGUUCCAUUUUUUU
This is a non-coding RNA of Ornithorhynchus anatinus (platypus), 104 nucleotides long. Lineage: Eukaryota; Metazoa; Chordata; Mammalia; Monotremata; Ornithorhynchidae. The record is from Rfam.